CGGGCGGCCGUGACCCUGCUGGAGUGCGGGGGGGACCUCCAGCCCCCCGGGGGGUCCCUGCGCCUCCUCUGCCGAGGGGCCGGGUUCAGUUUUGGGAAUUUCGACAUGUUCUGGAUCCGCCAGAGACCCGGGCAAGGGCUGGAGUGGCUUGUAGGGAUCUACAGCAGUGGUUCCAGCACCACCUACGCGCCAUCGGUCAAGGGCCGGUUCACGAUCUCCAGGGGCAACGGGCAGAGCUCGGUGACGCUGACCAUGAACAGCCUCAAGGACGAGGAUUCCGCCACCUAUUUCUGCGCCAAAUCCUCUGGUGUUAGCACUGCUCUUACUGCUUUGGGUGGUUGGACCCUCCCCCAAACCCCCCUGACCCACCCCUGA
Molecule: non-coding RNA, 375 nt
Organism: Melospiza melodia melodia
Lineage: Eukaryota; Metazoa; Chordata; Aves; Passeriformes; Passerellidae
Source: the annotation of a RefSeq genome assembly